UACGAAGGGUGCAAGCGUUACUCGGAAUUACUGGGCGUAAAGUGUGCGCAGGCGGCCGCGCAAGUCGAGUGUGAAAGCCCCGGGCUUAACUUGGGAAUUGCGCUCGAAACUACGUGGCUGGAGUGUGGCAGAGGAAGGUGGAAUUCCAGGUGUAGCGGUGAAAUGCGUAGAGAUCUGGAGGAACACCGAUGGCGAAGGCAGCCUUCUGGGCCAACACUGACGCUCAUGCACGAAAGCGUGGGGAGCAAACAGG
This 253-nucleotide ribosomal RNA is filed under the name uncultured bacterium. Its description in RNAcentral is "partial 16S ribosomal RNA". It matches the Rfam family "Bacterial small subunit ribosomal RNA", at positions 524 to 776 of the family's 1533-position model. The record is from RNAcentral.